Molecule: long non-coding RNA, 380 nt
Organism: Ruditapes philippinarum (Manila clam)
Lineage: Eukaryota; Metazoa; Mollusca; Bivalvia; Venerida; Veneridae
Exons: 3
Source: RefSeq, a predicted model, not a curated record
GUGAUCAGCGUCGUGGUCGUCCUCGUCGUCAUAGUGCUUGUUUCCGUGAUUCUGUGUUUUGUCUUGACGAAACCAAGAGUGACAGUAUACAAAAAUAUAAACGAAAUAGAGAAUCAAAGCACAGUGGUGAAUGCUAAGAAUGUGAAUCUGCCAGGUAAUAUGGGUCCAUUUUUACCACCACAAGAAAACAACACUGAUGAUCCAGAUAGAGGUAAGUAAAACCAGUUUAUAAAUAAAUACAUCAACUGUUUGACUAGACAGUUAUCCUUAAGUACAAUUAUUUUAGAAUACAUGUAUAACAUCACUGAUAAAAUAAAUUACCAUCAUCUUUUACACUUUAAAAAUAGGGACAAUGACAACAUGUUCUAACAGUCAUGGUC